This 235-nucleotide ribosomal RNA is filed under the name uncultured bacterium. RNAcentral's name for it is "partial 16S ribosomal RNA". It matches the Rfam family "Bacterial small subunit ribosomal RNA", at positions 96 to 334 of the family's 1533-position model. The record is from RNAcentral.
UGGCGGACGGGUGAGUAAUGUCUGGGAAACUGCCCGAUGGAGGGGGAUAACUACUGGAAACGGUAGCUAAUACCGCAUAACGUCGCAAGACCAAAGAGGGGGACCUUCGGGCCUCUUGCCAUCGGAUGUGCCCAGAUGGGAUUAGCUAGUAGGUGGGGUAACGGCUCACCUAGGCGACGAUCCCUAGCUGGUCUGAGAGGAUGACCGGCCACACUGGAACUGAGACACGGUCCAG